Molecule: transfer RNA, 69 nt
Filed under: Ictidomys tridecemlineatus (thirteen-lined ground squirrel)
Lineage: Eukaryota; Metazoa; Chordata; Mammalia; Rodentia; Sciuridae
Description: Spermophilus tridecemlineatus (thirteen-lined ground squirrel) tRNA
Rfam family: tRNA
About the family: Transfer RNA (tRNA) molecules are approximately 80 nucleotides in length. Their secondary structure includes four short double-helical elements and three loops (D, anti-codon, and T loops).
Source: Rfam by way of RNAcentral
GGGGUUGUGGCUCAGUGGUAGAGUGCCCGCCUAACAUGCAGGAGGCACUGGGUUCAAUCCUCAGCACCA